RNAcentral lists this long non-coding RNA (290 nucleotides) under Solanum tuberosum (potato). Its description in RNAcentral is "long non-coding RNA (STUB_LNC011491)". The record is from RNAcentral. Lineage: Eukaryota; Viridiplantae; Streptophyta; Magnoliopsida; Solanales; Solanaceae.
UCAUAUUUACCUUAUCUUUUCAUAGUAGCUCUACCUCGUACUCUACUUUCCUUAUAGGUUUUAUCAUUCAAUUUAUGAAAUUCAUGGUUCUCAUUUAUGCUUUCUAGAGUUGGAUCAAUGGAGUUGGACAGAGGAGUGAAUAUUGCAGAGCAUCUAUUGAUUGAUUUGGAAAAUCUGAGAGGAUUAGAGAACAUAUCAGGUUCUGUAUAUGAGAUCUCAGUGUUCACCGGACAAUGUGUAUAUAGAGAACAUAUCAGGUUCCUCCGUGAUAACACAUUAUUUUCCCUGCC